ACUCAAAUGAAUUGACGGGGGCCCGCACAAGCGGAGGAGCAUGUGGUUUAAUUCGAUGAUACGCGAGGAACCUUACCCGGGCUUGAAAGUUAGUGACCGGCUGAGAAAUCAGCCUUCCCGCAAGGGCACGAAACUAGGUGCUGCAUGGCUGUCGUCAGCUCGUGCCGUGAGGUGUUGGGUUAAGUCCCGUAACGAGCGCAACCCCUAUCGUUAGUUGCCAUCAGGUCAUGCUGGGAACUCUAAUGAGACUGCCCGCGCAAGCGGUGAGGAAGGUGGGGAUGACGUCAAGUCAGCACGGCCCUUACGUCCGGGGCUACACACGUGCUACAAUGGAUGGUACAGAGGGACGCUACCAGGUGACUGGAUGCAAAUCUUCAAAGCCAUUCUCAGUUCGGAUCGAAGUCUGCAACUCGACUUCGUGAAGCUGGAUUCGCUAGUAAUCGGAUAUCAGCAAUGAUCCGGUGAAUACGUUCCCGGGCCUUGCACACACCGCCCGU
RNAcentral lists this ribosomal RNA (497 nucleotides) under uncultured bacterium. RNAcentral describes it as "partial 16S ribosomal RNA". It matches the Rfam family "Bacterial small subunit ribosomal RNA", at positions 899 to 1397 of the family's 1533-position model. The record is from RNAcentral.